UACUUAUCAAGAAUGGAAUCAGAAGUCUUAUAUUUUUGCUUGUUACUUUCCUCUUCACUGGGGUAUAAAAGUUCUCCCCAAUCCGGGAGAGUGCCAAACUAGAGCAGUGAGACAAGGGUUGUUUAUAUUUUUAAGUACUUUAACCACAAACACAUUUACAGAAUGUUUUAGCGACUAGUCUGGUUUCUUCUCUCUGACUGUUAUUUUGAAGCCAUUAAAACUAAGUCAUCCUGUAGGAGCUCUUGUACAAAGAAAGGCAAAUAACACUGCAUGGGAAAUAGAAAAUGAGUUAUAGGUAUAUAUCCACAUCUAAGUACUUAUUGCUUUGUAGAAGCACCCUAUUUACCUGUUUACGAACUAAGGUAUAUGGUUUGGUUUUGUUUACUUUUAAAAUAGUUUCCUUAAACAAACUUCAUUCCACAUUUCAGCUCCUGUCCAGCCAGGCUGGUGGAAAGUCAGUCUCUAUUAUUUUGAGCUUUCCUCUUGCCACGGGUCUUAUCUUGCACUGAAACUCCUGGAAGGCUUGUCGGUAUCUGUCAUCAGCUGCUGAUGUGACCAUUUCCUAUUCAUUAUGCAAACUUGUCUAUGAUUAUUGGAAGCACUCUAUGUCCUGGACAUUCCAAGCAGUGACAUAGUCUUAUGUCUUCUAACAAACUGUGAACCAAGCAAACUACAUAUUCAGGAUCCUUUUUUGCAACUUGCUGUUGUAGAAGCCCAGGCAAGGCCUUUAAAUUUGUUUUCUCAUCUAUGAAAUGUGUAAUUCAACUUGAAGACUUUUGAAAGUCACUCUACAUCUGAAGAAUUUCUGAUUUUAUGAUGUAGGUACCACUCUCAAAGCUCUUAUUGAUAAAGACCUACAUUAUAUUCAUUUUUACACAGAUCUGCCAGUUUAAAAUCUGAUACAAUCCAACAUUCUAGAGCCUGAAACAUGAUGCUCUAUUAAGAUCGAUUUAUCAGAUGAAUAUAGACUCAAAUAAAGUUCUGUAAGAUACUGGCUCUAAAAUCUUGGCUCAGCAUUUCAAGAUGGUAUGCCUAUAGCUCCGAACUUGGAUGUAAUGAAACGUGAAACAGUCUCAUUUUAGCAUGGAAGGAAAUCAGCUUUCUCAUCAGGAGGAAAGAUUUUUCAAUUCAGUUUUAACCGGUAAUUUUCCUUUGGGGGAGCUUGAAGAGCUGUAGUGGUUAAAGGAAUAAACUAUCAAAUAACAAUACUAUUCAUGAAUAAUUACCCAGCAGAGGGAGAUAGGAGGAUUCUAACUUUUAUCUUUAGAGGUCUGAAUGAUUUGAGAGGAUACCUAUAAUGGAGGACUUGUGAUCUAGGAUACAGCAGUAGUUGCUGACAGAAAAGAGGGGGAAAUAAGCAAAUAUCAUCAAGUCAUGCACGUUGGGUUUUAUUUAAGGAAAUGUCUCCUUGUGUAGGCAGUGAUGUGUUUAAGAGUGAGACGUUUCCUUUUACUUGUUUCUAUUUUAAGUGAUUGCUUUGGCAGGUCUUUGAAGGAAAAAAAAAUCAUCUUCUAUCCUGCAGAUUCAGUAACUGCCCUUAAAUGUCAGAUCAUGUCACAUUUUCAGUGGAGACAGCAUUGUGAUUUGCUUCCAUGGUGAUCUACCAGUCAGUGAUGGCUAAAACUAAUGACCUUGGAUUAUCGGGGUACCGUGCAAGACAGCCACUAAUUAAUUAUUUGUCAUAAUCUCCCAGGGAGGAAAUUACUAAUAUUAUUACUUAGUACAUCCUUUGCAUUUACACUAGCAGAGUGCUGAAAAAUUCAUCUGUGGCCCUGAAGAAAUAACCAUUUGUGCUGUUCUUAGCAGGAAACAAGGAAGCAGCCCCAAGAGCGCCUGUGUCCACUCGGUGACAUAGUCAGGGCCUCAAGCUCUAUGUGCUGUGGCAGGCUUGUAGGCUACGUUGCUUUCAAAUUUCAGCUGAAUAAUAGAAUGACUAUGUCAGAGGCAUUUUUAAUAUAUUAUUCUAAUCUCCAGAGAUUGCAGUUAGUAAGCAACAAAUUAAUUCAAUUAUAAGACUGCCCCUCAAAAAAAAAUCUUUUAAUGUAGCACUUGCACUUGGAAGGCAUAUUCAACAAGCAGACCUGGAAAAUAUUAAAUGUGCUCUGGCAGUUGUAGGGAAAAAAAGCCAUCUGGUAUGAAUGAGUCCCCUGUAUUUGGAGUAAGGACGGUUACAAGAUCCUUUCAACUUACUGGUCGGCCAGUUGUCUGUUCCUCAGCCAGAGCCUAUCUACAGGUGGUCGCACUGGGAAAGAAAGAGUAUUUCUAUACUAUUAUUGAUAGAUUGUGGUUAAUAUUUAACCUAAAUUUGUAAUCAGAAUGUAAUAGUUAUAUUAUG
Non-coding RNA from Kogia breviceps (pygmy sperm whale), 2335 nucleotides. The record is from RefSeq and is a predicted model, not a curated record. Lineage: Eukaryota; Metazoa; Chordata; Mammalia; Artiodactyla; Physeteridae.